GGUAUUUAUUGACAACUAGUUUGACUUUUCCAUCUCGACAAAUUAGAUAUACUCAUUUUUCUCGUUUUUUUAAACUUCAUAACUAUUUUUCUGUUUUUCUAUCGGUUGAAUUAUUAAUCGUGUAUAAAGUAUUAUGGAACAUAAAAAGAUAUAUGAAUUUUUGAAAAUAGUACUUCUACAUCUAUUUGGAUGUCAAACUGUCUCCCCGUCCUUAUUAUCUCUCACAAACCUGCUAUUCCGAAAGAGAAAAAAAAAAGCUCAUAGAAUCUAAAUUGGCCCAUUGACCCGG
Molecule: long non-coding RNA, 289 nt
Filed under: Sorghum bicolor (sorghum)
Lineage: Eukaryota; Viridiplantae; Streptophyta; Magnoliopsida; Poales; Poaceae
Description: long non-coding RNA (SBIC_LNC007987)
Source: RNAcentral